This 15229-nucleotide long non-coding RNA is filed under the name Gossypium barbadense (sea-island cotton). RNAcentral describes it as "long non-coding RNA (GBAR_LNC004122)". The record is from RNAcentral. Lineage: Eukaryota; Viridiplantae; Streptophyta; Magnoliopsida; Malvales; Malvaceae.
UUUACCCAAAUACAAAAGCCUAAACGGCAGGCCCACUAUUACAUCCUACCCAGAUACACUAAAACUAAGACCCAUUACAACAGACCCAAGUGGACCCAGGACAAAACAGGCCCAAGUGGCCCAGCUUGUUACACCAAGGCAUGAAACCCUAGGGUUUCUGCCUCUCUCCUUGCGCCGCAAACAGAAGGUUUCAGAAGCCAAGCCUCAUGACUCUUCAGCUCUUGCUGUUCCAGCUACCCCGUCAAGGCCAUGAUUCCAGGCCCCAAGUCACGCCGAGAUCAACGCCACCAGUGGACCAUCGUCAGGCCUUUGUUAUUGCCGAAUUUUUCGCAAGUACCUGCAAGAAAAGGAAAGAAAAUCACAGCAAACAUGCGAAGCAAAUACGGAAAGAAAUCGAUGAUUUCUUUCCAAAACUUGUAGUAGUAAAGGUUAUAAAGCGUUCUUUUUAAUCUGUAAAAGGACACGGAGGCAGAGACCAAAAAAUAUUGUACACAGAGUUUUUUUUUUGCAAUAAUAUACCAGAGAUCUUUUACAGAAGACAAAGGUGACAUAUUUUUAUUUUCGUUUCAUUCUCUUGAUCAUGAGCUUAUGCAUAUAAUAUAUUAAAUAGAUAGAAAGAGUAUACCUGGAGAAUCACCUUGAAAAGCGAAACUUUUCAAGAUCCGACCGUCGUGUGUGGCGGAGUCGGUGGCGGCGCGUGGAUCAGCGCGGAGGUCCGAUGACCAGAACUGACCGGCUAAACGCCGGAGCUCAGGAGACUAGGGAUCCUCUUCAGAGGAUUUUUUUUUUAGAAACUGGGCUUCUAAAUGAUUUUAAAGCUAAAGAUUUGGCUUAUAUAGCCUUGUCAAAACGACAGCGUUUUAGACCCUCAGGAUCCGCGUGUUGACCCGAUUACCCGGGGAGGAUCCGCGCGUUUUUAUAACUGGGUUAAUUGCUCAAUUAAUCCUUCUGCUCCUUUUUGUGUUUACAAUUAAAACCUUAUUUUAUGAUUCGGCCCUGCUAUUUUAUUUUAGUUUUUAAUUUGGUCCUGACAAUUGUUAAAUCUCAUUUUGGGAAACGUCGCCGUUUUGGGAAUAGGUAUUUUUCCCAGUGAGUCCCUCUAAUUUUACGCGCGUUUUAAAUAGGGCCUCAAUUCAGUUUUGCUUCUUUGAAAUUCGCCUUGUAAUUUUGUUAAACUUUAAAUUUAGUCCUAUAUUUAUUAUUCUAUAUAUAUUAUUAUUUGUUUUAUUUUAAUUUUACUUUUAUAGAAUAUAUUAUAAAAUUAUUAUAAGUAUUAUUUUAAUUAUAUAUUAUUACUGCUUAUUAUGUAUUAUUUUUCUUAAAUAUUAUUUUACAUCUCUUUUAUAUAUUAUUAUAUUUUCACAUAUAUUAUAUUUAUUAAUUAUAUAUAUAUAUUAUUUUAUAUGUUACUUUAUAUUAUAUCUAUUAUUUUUCUUAUAUGUUUAUAUUACAUUUUCUUAUAUAAUCUUUAUUAUGUUUUAUUUUUAUAUUAUUUAUUGUUUUUUUAUAUAUAUGUAUAUCAUGUAUCGCAAAUUAUAUUAUUUAUGUUUAUAUUAUAUAUAUAUUAUUUUAAAAAUAAAAAUUAUUGUUAUUAAAUCAUAUUCUUAACUCACAUUAUAUACACAUUUCAUUUUUUUUAUUCACUAUACAUAUAUCAUUUCAUUUUAAAUUAAUAUUGUUAUAUUAUGAAAUCUCUUACAUACUUUCAAACCAAUAUAUUAUUAUAUAAUUAUUAUUCUUUUAUUCUUGUUACUAUGUUAUUAUAUUAUAUAUUAAAUACUAUGGAUAUGAAGUGUCUUCUUUUAAAUUGUAUGUAUAUUUUGUUAGCAAUCAUUUUUUUAUUUGUUCUUCUAUAUGUUGUAUGCGUCAUGGAUGUCUUAAGUUUAUUUUUAUUAUAAUUAUAUGCAAAUUAACACUAUAUUUCUUCUAUUUGUAUAUCAUACAUUAUUUGCUUAUGUUUUUUUAUGUCAUGCAUCAUUUAAAUAUUAAUCCGUAUGUUUAUAUACUUUGUUUAUUCGUUUUCAAUACAUGCUAUAUAUAUCUUUGUUUGCAUUUUUUUUUUGCUUUUAAUGUAUUAUUCUUUUAUUGUAGUAUUCAUUUUUUUUAUAUACCUAGUACGAUAAUAUAUUAUUAUGAUUUAUAAUGUAAUACAAUUCUCCACACAUCUUCAAAAAGACAAGGCUCCAAAAUUUUCAAAAAAAUAUAAAGGCAAUGCUUGAUGUUUGGAAAUUUCGAAAAAGUAGUGCCCUAACUUAUUGGGUUGCAACUUUUCCCGUUAAGUUCGAAUAGUCAAGUAUCCUUCUAAGUUUUUAAAAGUUUUCAAAAUAUAAGUGACUAUCUUGGAAUCGAAAAGUGAUAUGUCCUAACUUACUGGAUGUAGCAUUUUUCUGUUUCGAGAUAGGGAUUUCUAAAAGGCUAACUUAUGGCCAAUACUUUGAUAUAAGUGAACCUAAGUUUUCAAAUACUUUAAAGAGGAUCACAUCUUAAGAUUUUUUAAAUUUCCGACAUUAAAGACAUUUGAUAAUCAAUUAGGUACCAAUUUUUGGGCGUUACGAGAGUGCUAAUCCUUCCUCGUACGUAACCGACUCCCGAACCCAUUCUUUUAUUUCGUGGACCAAAACGAAUGGUUUUAAAAAAAAUGUUUUAAAGGUGAUCCAAUCACACCUAAAAAGAUUGGUGGCGCUCCCGUUUUCGUUUUUUAAAAUCGAUUCCCAUUUUCCAAAACUCGAUUUGACAAUGGUUUCGACAGCUUGGCGACUCCACUGGGUACUAAUAAGAGAGUCAAGCUGUGUGAUUGGUUAUCUCUUGUCUUGAUGUCAGAAAUUUAAAAAAUUUUAAGAUUUAAUCCUCUUUGCAUUACAUGUGUUUGUAUUAUUGCAUGUGUUGCUAUAUUCUAAUACGCAUUGCAUUUGCAUGACCGUUGUGGUCACAACCUUAAGUGAGAGUGAGAAGCUACGCCUUCGUGAGGUUUUCACCUCCGUGCAGGAUAGUGGAUCACUUUCGGGAUACAUCCGUACCUAUGGUUUCGUGAGAUUUUCAUCUCCGUGUAGCCAUAGGGAAAUGUAUUCCCCUGAACUGAACUCGAUUCAAAUGAGCCUAUAAUGGGUGAGGAUCGAGGAAUCUGCUGGUUCAGGUACCUCAAACUUUAGAACCAACCUCAUAUAGAAAAAACCAUAAGAGCCCAAUUUAGUUAGAGUUAAACUUUAGAUAUUACCCUUAUAAAUUAUUGUUGAGAUUUAUUGAUAUCAUGUGAUACUGACUAUUUCUCUUCUUUUGUUUGCAUGACAUUUUGCAUUUACAAAGGUAUCGAUUCACGGUCAGUGUCUAAAUUAGAGAGUUUUAUUAUGGAGAACGGACUUCUUGAUAGAGUGGAGGGCAACGCCAACGUCCAUAGAUGGUCUGAGCAAACUCAGUUAGAAAAGGGAGAUAGUAUAGCUGCGGGAUAUAUGUCGGAGCUGUCAGGAUAUACUCGCAUCAAUGUUAUGCAGAAUAAUCUCCAAGAGCUUAAGGAGAUUUGGGAUCAAUGGGGCAACGAGACUAAACAGUUAUUCUACGGUAAUUACGGAGACUUACCUUACUUGCUCGAUGUUCAAAUAGAUGAGCACUUGUUUCGAGCCUUUGCUCAGUUUUGGAAUCCAGCUUACAGUUGCUUUACUUUCGGGGAGGUAGAUUUGGCGCCUACCGUAGAGGAGUACACUGCUUUGUUACGUUGUCCCAGGUUCCAGGAAGAUAGAAUUUAUUCUAGAGCUGUUAAUGUCCCUACCUUUUGGAAGAAAUUGAUGGCUAUUACAGGGAUGAGCGAGCAGUGGAUUACUGCCAGAAUUAAAGAGAAGGGCGAGUGCAAGUGCAUUUCAUGGGAUGCUUUGAAGGAUCUGAUUUUGACACACCCUGAUGAAGCAAAAAGGGUAGAUGUUUUUGCCUUAAGUUUGUACGGAUUGAUGGUGUUCCCUAGGGCUUUGGGAUAUGUGGAUGAGGCAACCACGGAUCUUUUCCAUAGACUCAGUAAGAGGGUCACCUCUGUCCCUGCAAUAUUGGCAGAGACAUUCAGGUCCUUAGGCGCAUGUAGGAAAGCUGGCGCAGGCAGGUUUGUUGGUUGUGCACAAUUGCUUCUAGCUUGGUUCUAUAGUCAUUUUCGGUUGAUAGAUAAGGUCGUUUGUCGGGUUUUCUUCGAGGAUUACACACCGCUGAAGGACAUAGUCACUUCAAUUAGGAGAGUUGAUGUUCUAGAGGAGAAUUGGAUUGCACUACUUCAAAAUCUUUAGUCGAAAGAUGUUGAGUGGAGAGCUCCGUGGAUGAUUCCUGGUGAGGUUCUUUACCGUUGUGGCAGUUUCAAUUGGGUCCCUUUAUUAGGAAUUUGGGGUGCCAUUGGUUAUGCUCCCUUACUCGUGUUAAGGCAAUUCGGUUUGAGGCAGUUCGUGCCAGCAACUCAUGGGCUAACUCAAAGUGAGUUCGCAUAUAGAGGAGCCGAUUACAAGAAAAGGGUCAGUGAGAUCUCUAGCGCUUGGAACAAGACAUGUCGGUUGAAAGGAGUAGCUAUUGGCCCUACUACGACUCCAGAAUAUGUUGAAUGGAGAGGUAGAAGGAUCAAUGAUAACAUUCCUGAGCCAAAUAUGGAAGGAGCUCGACCGAUGGAGGAAUAUCUACAAGUGAUGCCUUCGGAGUUAGAAAUUAUGAAGCAAGAAUUUGAGAGGAAAAAUCUGGAGCUCGAGAAAAGGAUAGCAAAGCUUGAAGAAGAAAAGAUGUACUUGAGUUUAGAUAUUGAUGUCCAGAAGAUGGAGGUCGAAAAAGAAAGAAAGGAAAAGAGGAAGAUUGAGGAGGAUAGAGAUGACUUGAAGGAACACUACAAAAAGGCACAAGUAUCCUUAAGAAGAGCGAAAGUAGGAGGAUCUUUAGAUCAGUUGCAGAAAGAGGUCCAAGAAGGCAAGGCUAGAGCUGAGCACUAGGAGAAGAGGUUUUAGGUGAUGCAAUCACGGAAUUUGGCAUUAGAAGAAGAGAAUAAAGGGUUGAAGUCUAAAGUAACUGAGCUUGGAAGAUCCCUUUGUUGGCAUUGCAACCAUGAUUCUACGGUCGAGUUAAAGGAGCUAAAGAGUAAAGUUGAAGAUUUGGAAGCAGCAUUACAGGAAGGUAAACUUCAGAUCGAGCAACUCGAGGCACAAGGAGACUAUCUAAAGAGAGAGCUUCAUCAGUCUAGAGGGCAGAUUAGAGAAAGAGAUCAUGUCAUGGAAGAAGCCAUAGCUCAGAUUCGAGAGGUUGCUGAAUAUGUGCAAGACUUGGCUGUACGAGCCGACGUAUUGAGUAUGAUGUGUGGGUCGUCGUCAGACAUAGGAAGAGAGUUAGCCCUUUUAUUAGAUAGAGUUAAAACUUUAGGCAUUAGGGCGAAAGCAUACUUGUAAUCCAUUUAUAUGUAAAGAUAUUCUUUUUCUAAAUAAAGUUUUCUAAAUGAGAUUAAAUCGAGAUUGAUGCCUUUGCUGCAUUCAUACAUUUGCAUUACAUCAUAUCAUAUGCAUUUAAGGUUAUAGAAAGACUCUAAUUAGUUAAAGUUUCUUUAUAAGGUAGAAAAGAAAACUGGAAAUUACACAUCCUUACGGCACUCGCACUAAAACUAAGAACAUGGAUCAAAGGUUUGAGCAGUUGCAAAAGGAUAUGCAAGACCAGUUGCAAGAGCAGUUGGCUAAGAUGUAGAAUGAGAUGAGGGAACAAAUGAUGGAAGCUCAGAGGAAUAUAAUGGCCGAAAUGGCUCAGUUACUGAGGGCCACUGAUAAAAGAGGAAAAUGAGGGUCCUCCUCCAUGUUUUACACCAUCGCAUGUAUCAUUGCAAACUGAGGCACCUCCUAGAAGGCCAUCUACUACUGUGAGGCCUCAGCAUGGGCCAAUUGAUGCUGGUGUCCAUGUGAAUUUCCCAAUUGGUUCAGGACUUAAUAUGGGUGACAAUCUUACUAAUCCUCUUGUUCCCGAUCUAGAUAUGGUGGAAAAGGAGGAUUUGAAGGUCGAAGCUGCAAGGCAAUUGGAUGAACGCUGCAGAUGGUUAGAAGAAAAGUUCAAGGCCUUGGAAGGCACUGGCAACAAUCAUGGGGUUGAUGCCAAGGACUUAAGUCUGGUCCCAAACCUAGUAUUACCUCACAAAUUCAAAAUGCCUGAAUUUGAAAAGUACAAUGGCACUACUUGCCCAGAGGCCCACAUCACAAUGUUUUGUAGAAGGAUGACGGGGUAUGUAAACAAUGAUCAGCUGUUGAUCUAUUGUUUUCAGGAUAGUUUGAUAGGAGCGGCAGCCAGAUGGUACAAUCAGUUAAGCCGGGGUAGAAUAAGUUCAUGGAGGGAUCUUGCACAAGCCUUCAUGCAACAGUACAAUCAUGUAACAGAUAUGACCCCUGACAGGAUUACCCUGCAAAACAUGGAGAAAAAGCCUAAUGAGAAUUUUAGGCAAUAUGCACAGAGGUGGAGAGAGGUAGCAAUGCAGGUUCAACCACCACUGUUGGAGAAGGAGACCACUAUGUUAUUUAUUAAUACUCUGAAAGCCCCAUUUAUUACUCAUAUGAUUGGAAGCACUACUAAAAUUUUUGCGAACAUAGUUAUGGCAGGAGAGAUGAUAGAGAAUGCCAUAAGAGGAGGAAGAAUUGGGGGGAAGUAGUCAAAAGAUCAGCCCCAAGAAGAAAAGACAAUAAGGUAAACAAUACAAGUGGUUUUAACUCAAAAGAAGUCACAGUUAACCAGCCCAAAGUAGCCACAGUUGGGCAACAAGACUCUCAAAAGCAGGAAUCCAACACUAGGCAUGAGAGGAUGCAAUUUACACCUAUACAUGUGACGUAUAGGGAGCUCUAUCAGAAUCUAUAUGAUGCGCAUGCUAUAGCCCCUUUCCACUUAAAACCAUUACAACCUCCGUAUCCUAAAUGGUAUGAUGCAAAUGCCAGAUGUGAGUAUCAUACUGGAAUAUCGGGGCACUCAAUCGAGAAUUGUACUGGAUUCAAGAAAGCCGUAGAGAAGUUGAUCAAGAAUGGGGUUUUGAAAUUUGAGAGUACCCAAAAUACUGAGAAUCCUUUGCCGAACCAUGACAAUCAGGGAGUAAAUGCCAUUGGUGAAGUCGCUGAAAAAAGGGAAAAAGAAAAUGUUGAUGAGAUAAGGAUGCCUAUGAGGGUAAUCUGGGAGGAGAUGAUGAAGAGAGGUAUGUUGACCUCUAAAAAUACAAAAAGAAAGAACGUGGGACUACGGUGAGUUCCAUGAAGAUUGCGAGGAAUUCAAGACCUUGGUGCAAGGCUUCAUAGACAACAAAGAGCUACAGGUUUAUAAAGGUAGCUCUAGUGAAAAGCAAGUUUGUGUGCUGGAAAAUGAACAGCAAAGAACCGGUAGACCAAGGAUCAUUAUCUCCCUGCCAGGGAAUAAUGAAAUGGGGACAUCAGCAGCGCCCAAGGUUAUUAUCCAUACACCUACUCCUUUCCCUUACAAGGAUAGCAAAAAAGUACCAUGGAGUUAUGACUGUAGCGUGACGGUGCCGGGAGAAGGAAGCAUAGCCAGUGCAUCUAAGGAUGUACGAGAUAAAGGUUCCCAUACGCGGAGUGGGAAGCGUUAUGAUAUGGGGGACGUCAGAGUGGAGCCCACAAAACCCAAGAAUGUUGAAAUUGAGAAAAAGAGUGAAGUAUCUGUUAACGAGCCAGUAAGGGAGGAGGAAGCUAAGGAAUUUCUAAAGUUCCUUAAGCAUAGUGAGUACAGUGUGGUCGAGCAGUUGCGUAAGCAACCAGCACGCAUAUCGGUUUUAGCCUUACUACUAAGCUCUGAAGUGCAUCGAGAAGCGUUGUUGAAGGUACUCAAUGAGACAUAUGUUACUCAUGAUAUAUCUGUCAAUAAGUUGGAUCGGUUGAUAAAUAACAUCAAUGCUGAUAAUUUCAUCUACUUCAAUGAUGAUGAAAUUCCACCUGGGGGCAUAGGGUCAACUAAGGCUUUGCACAUCACCACUCGUUGCAAAGGAUACACGCUUCCAAGUGUACUCGUUGAUAAGGGGUCUGCUUUGAACGUCCUUCCAUUAUCCACAUUGAACAGAUUACCCAUUGAUAGUUCGCACAUGAAGAUGUGUCAUAAUGUGGUAAGAGCCUUCGACGGAACUAAAACGAAAGUAAUGGGACGAAUUGACAUCCCUCUGGAGAUUGGACCAAAUACGUAUGAAGUUGACUUCCUGGUAAUGGAUAUCAAGCCCUCCUAUAAUUGUUUGUUGGGGAGGCCAUGGAUACACUCAGCAGGAGUGGUGCCUUCUUCACUGCACCAAAAAUUAAAGUUGGUGACGGAUGGACGCUUGAUAACCAUCAAUGCAGAGGAGGACAUCAUAGCAGCUGUCACUAGUAAGCCUCCUUAUGUGGAGACAAAUAAGGAGGCUAUUGAGUGUUCUUUUCGUUCCUUAGAAAUUGUUAAUGCUACCUUCAUUUCAGAGGGAAGCGAGGUGCCGAUUCCCAGGAUGUCUAGAGCAACAAGGAUGGCCCUGCAAAUAAUGAUGGGAAAAGGAGCAUUGCCAGGAAAAGGACUAGGAAAACAGUUGCAAUGAGGGAUUCAAGUCCGAAAAUUGACGGAGAAGAAGGAUCGCUUUGGUUUGGGUUUUAAGCCAGACCAUAAACAAAAGAGACAGGAGAUGGAAAAGCGUCAAGCAAGAAGGAAGGCGCGUUUGAACGGAGGAGAAGUAGAGUGGGAACUGAUUACAUUCCCACCUAUAUCCAAAACCUUUAAGUCAGGAGGGUUGCUAGUAGAAGAGAGUCAUCAAAUCAAUGUUGUACAUAAUGAGUGGUUUGGACAAGAAAACCUUGAGGGUAUUCACCCUUACGAACCGGGGAGCUCUUUGAACAAUUCGACUGCGAAGGAUCUUUCUAUAGUCUUUAGAAAUUUUUCAGAGUAAUUCUUGAAACAUUUUUGUUACUCUAGGGCCUAGGAGUAGUAAGAUUACAUUUGCGAAAAUAGGCUCAUGUUCAUCUAUUAUUAUUCAAAUAAAACAUAACUUUUACCAAUUUAAAAGAGUAUUGUCUCAUUUUUAUCAACCAAUAUUCCUUUGAAUUCUAACAAUUCUUAUUCUUUUAUUCAUAGCACAUAAACGAUAAUUCUCAAAUUCAUUCAUUCUUUGUAUAUUCUUUCAUACCCCUCACAGGUCUCUAGAUAUCAAUGAUAUGAGCGCUAAUACUGCCGCUCCUGAUUUCUCUUGUGAGCAAGACAUGUGUUUAGAGGAGUCUCAAGAUUUUGAAGAUGUUCAAAAUUGUGAUGUAUCUCUUGAUCUAUUAAGAAUGGUAAAACAGGAGGAGAAACAAAUCAUGCCACAUGAAAAAGAGGCAAUAGAGAAUAUAGCCUUAGAGGAAGGGAAGGAGGUGAAAAUUGGAACACUGAUCGCUAAUGACACAAGGCAUAGCUUGAUUGAGUUGCUUCAGGAAUUCAAGGAUAUUUUUGCAUGGUCUUAUCAGGAUAUACCCGGAUUGAGUACUGACAUUGUAGUACAUCGUCUUCCGAUAAGACAAGAAUGUAGACCGGUCCAACAGAAGUUCCGAAGAAUGCGGCCAGACAUUGUCCUGAAAAUAAAAGAUGAGGUCAAGAAGCAGUUUGAUGCAGGAUUUCUUCAGGAAGUAAAGUACUCUGAAUGGGUAGCUAAUAUUGUACCAGUCCCUAAGAAAGACGGGAAAGUACGAAUGUGCGUUGAUUACAGAGAUUUAAACAAAGCAAGCCCAAAGGAUAAUUUUCCUCUGCCACACAUCGACACUUUAGUAGACAACACAGCGGGAUAUUCGUUGUUCUCCUUCAUGGACGGCUUCUCAGGAUACAAUCAGAUAAAGAUGCAUCCAGAGGAUAUGGAUAAAACUACUUUCAUAACAUUGUGGGGCACCUUUUGUUAUAAAGUGAUGCCGUUUGGGUUGAAAAAUGCAGGGGCAACAUACCAACGAGCCAUGGUAAACUUGUUUCACGACAUGAUGCAUAAGGAUAUUGAGGUAUACGUUGACAAUAUGAUUGCCAAGUCGCGAACAGAAAAAGAACACAUUGAGGUCUUGAGAGGAUUGUUCUUAAGGUUGAGGAAAUUUCAGUUGAAGCUCAAUCCAGCAAAGUGCACUUUUGGAGCUAGAUCGGGGAAGUUAUUAGGCUUCGUAGUCAGUGAAAAGGGAAUUGAAGUUGACUUAGACAAGGUCAGAGCCAUACGGGAGUUGCCUCCACCACGUACUCAAAAAGAAGUUCGAGGAUUCCUAGGAAGGUUGAAUUACAUUGCUCGGUUCAUUUCACAAUUGACUGAGAAAUGUGAUCCUAUCUUUCGUCUCCUCAGAAAGCACAAUCAAGGUGCUUGGGAUGAAGAAUGCCAGAAUGCUUUCGAGAAAGUCAAGCAGUAUUUGUUGAAUGCUCCAGUAUUAUCUCUGCCUAGUCCAGAUAAACCAUUAAUACUAUACUUGUCAGUGUUCAGCAAUUCUAUGGGAUGUCUGCUGGGUCAGCAUGACGAGUCAGGGAAAAAGGAAAAGGCAAUUUAUUAUCUCAGUAAGAAAUUCACUGACUGUGAAAUGAGAUAUUCGCCAAUUGAAAAGUUGUGUUGUGCGUUGAUUUGGACCACACGGAGAUUAAGACAGUACAUGCUAUACCAUACUACUUGGCUCAUAUCAAAAUUAGAUCUAUUAAAAUACAUGAUGGAAUCAACGGCUCUAAAUGGUAGAAUGGCGAGAUGGCAAAUUUUGCUUUCAGAGUUCGAUAUAGUCUAUGUAAGUCAAAGGGCUAUCAAAGGAAGUGCGGUGGAAGAUUUCUUGGCCAGUAGAGCUUUGGAGGAUUACGAGCCAUUGAAUUUUGAUUUUCCAAAUGAGGAGCUAAUGUGUAUAGCAGCAACUGAAGAUUCGCCAUGGAAGCUAAAUUUUGAUGGGGCUUCUAAUGCAGUCGGAAAUGGGAUUGGGGCAGUCUUGGUAUCCCCGAAUGGCGACCAUUACCCGUUCACGUGUAAGUUGGAUUUUGACUGUACAAAUAAUAUGGCUGAAUACGAAGCAUGCAUCAUGGGGCUCCAAGCGGCCAUAGAAAGAGGCAUAAAAACCCUGGAAGUAUAUGGAGAUUCUGCGUUAGUAAUCUAUCAGCUAAGAGGUGAAUGGGAGACAAGAGACCCUAAGUUGAUCAAUUAUCGAAUGGUAGUUUUGGGGUUACUAAGAGAGUUCGAUGACAUCACCUUCAACUAUCUCCCACGAGAUGAGAACCAGAUGGCAGAUGCUUUAGCAACCUUGGCUUCGAUGAUUAAGGCAAACAAAGAGGAAGAGAUGAGACCAAUUCAAAUGAGUGUCUAUGAAUUUCCAGCUAGCUGUUGUAACCUUAAAGAGGAAGAAAAGGGUGACAAUCCUUGGUAUCAGGAUAUAUUGCGAUAUGUAAGAGAUCGUAAAUAUCCACACAGGCAUCUGAAAAUGACAAACGAACCCUGAUAAGAUUAGCUUGUGACUAUGUUUUGGACGGGGAUGUUUUGUACAAGAGAAGGAAAGCCCAAGUACUUUUGAGAUGUGUCGAUGCUGUGGAAGCCAAGCUAAUUCUAGAAGAGGUCCAUGAAGGUGUAUGUGGUACGCAUGCAAAUGGGUUCACGAUGGCAAGACAAAUCAUGAGGUUUGGCUAUUACUGGGCCACUAUGGAAGGAGACUGUAUCAAUUAUGCCAAAAAACGCCAUAAGUGUCAGAUUUAUGGGGACAAAAUUCAUAUACCACCCUCAUCUUUACAUGUCAUGACAUCUCCAUGGCCAUUUUCCAUGUGGGGCAUGGAUGUCAUUGGACCAAUAUCGCCGAAAGCUUCGAAUGGACAUCGGUUUAUUUUCGUAGUGAUUGACUACUUUACAAAAUGGGUAGAAGCUACUUCUUACGCAAAUGUUACCAAGUCAGCUGUAAGUCGAUUUUUGAAGAAGGAAAUCAUUUGUCGGUAUGGAAUGCCUGAGAGGAUCAUAUCCGACAACGCAUUGAAUUUGAACAACAAAAUGAUAGCAGAGGUUUGCGACCAGUUCAAAAUCAAGCAUCACAACUCUUCACCCUAUCGUCCAAAGAUGAAUGGGGCAGUGGAGGCUGCCAAUAAGAACAUUAAGAAAAUAGUGGGAAAGAUGACUGAGACUUAUAAGGAUUGGCAUGAAAAGUUACCGUUUGCAUUCUUGGCUUAUCGAACAUCUGUUAGAACUUCUACUGGGGCAACUCCGUUCUCAUUAGUUUACGGGAUGGAAGCAGUUUUACCUAUUGAAGUGGAAAUACCUUCUCUCCGAAUUUUAACAGAGAUAAAGUUAGAUGAAGCUAAAUGGGUUCAGUAUCGAUAUGACAAGCUAAACUUGAUUGAGGAAAAGAGGCUGAAGGCUAUCCGACAUGGUCAGAUGUACCAGAAGCGUAUGAUGCGAGCUUAUGAUAAAAAGGUUCGUCCAAGGGAAUUCCAUGAGGGGGACCUUGUGUUAAAGAAAAUCCUCCCCAUUCAGAAGGACUUUAGAGGAAAAUGGAUGCCAAAUUGGGAGGGGCCAUACAUCGUGAAGAAGGCUUUUUCUGGUGGUGCAUUGAUUUUGACAAAAAUGGAUGGAAAGAGCCUACCCAAUCCGGUGAACUCAGACUCAGUCAAAAAGUACUUUGUCUAAAAGCGAAAAGGGCGCCUUGAAUUUAAAAAAAAAUAAAAAAAUAAUAAAAAAUAAAAAAAAAAUAAAAAAAAAAUGGAGAGGCCAAGGUGAAAACUCACAAAGGGCACCUUGUGACCAAAGGGAUUUUGAGUUGAAAACCCGAAAGGGCAGCUCAAAUUUUGAAGGGCACACAGCAACCUUGCUAUAUUUGACUUGACAGAGAGUGAGGCACAGUGUACAUUAGGGCAUCAACAAAGUACUUUGGAUCUUUUAAACACAUGUCGAACAAAAAGAGGGGGCUUCGAGGAGCUAAUGUAUAGAUGCUCAAGCAGCGAUAUUUAGAGCAUCUGAUUUUUAUCCUGUCUGCUAUCUUUAGAUUCUAUUUCUUCUUAAAGAUAUGCUAUCAGACUUAUUUCCUUUGUACUGUUAACAAUUUGAAUCCAAUUAUUCUCAAAGAUUUACUCACCUUCUGAUAUUUUUAAAGAAUGUUGCAUUGAAAUAAUGAUAGAUGAACUAAAAUUUUCACAAACGAAGUUUUGUACAUUACUUUGGAAUUUCUAGAUAAUGCAAGAAACUAAAAUAGGACAAUUGUUUGAGAAAUUUUCGUAAGUAAGGGAUGAAGGAACUUGAGGGAUUUCUUUCUUCCAAUCCAAAAAGAAAUGGAUGAUUCAAUUCUUACAGACAUCCUCAGUAGAUCAUAGCAUUGGAUGAAGGCCUACAAGCUGAAAUUUUGAGAAAGACAAAUGAAGGAAUGAAUAAUGACACCCGAGAUAGGGGUCAUAUUCACAGCACUUUGCAUCAUAACAUGUUAAGGACAUUCGACUCAUUUCAAUCAUAGCAUACUUAGGCAUAGGCACAUACUCAUCUUACAGGUCAUGAAGAUCAAAGAUUUCAACAUGGCAGCCCUGUGCUUAUAGGAAACAAAUUGAAGACAGCAGAUCUAGACUUCAGACAUUUAUGCUGAAGCAGAUCCAAGAUGAUUUGGUUUUCUUGUGUUUACAAGGAACAAAUCGAGGACAUAGCAGAUUUGACUCUUAGACGUUCUCAAAUAUAGCAGAUCUAACCUUCAGAUGUUUAUACUGAAGCAGAUCCAAGAUGAUUUGUAUUCUUGUGUUUACAAGGAACAAAUCGAGGACAUAGCAGAUUUGACUCUCAAAAGUUCUCAAAUGUAGCAGAUCUAACCUUCAGAUAUUUAUAUUGAAGCAGAUCCAAGAUGAUUUGGUAUUCUUGUGUUUACAAGGAACAAAUCGAGGACAUUGCAGAUAUGACUCUCAAAUGUUCUUAAACUAACUCAAGAGGGUUUAGCAUCCUUGUGCUUACAAGGGACAAAUCGAGGACAUAGCAGAUUUGAUUCUCAGACGUUCUCAGAUAUAACAGAUCUAACCUUCAGAUAUUUAUACUGAAGCAAAUCCAAGAUGGUUUGGCAUCAUUGUGCUUACAAGGGACAAAUCGAGGACAUAGCAGAUUUGACUCUCAAAAGUUCUUAAAUGUAGCAGAUCUAACCUUCAGAUGUUUAUACUGAAGCAGAUCCAAGAUGAUUUGGUAUUCUUGUGUUUACAAGGAAUAAAUCGAGGACAUUGCAGAUAUGACUCUCAAAUGUUCUUAAACAAACUCAAGAUGGUUUGGCAUCCUUGUGCUUACAAAGGAAAAAAUGAGGACAUAGCAGAUAUGAUUCUCAAAAGUUCUCAAAUAGAUCAAGAUGAUUUGGCAUCUCUACAAAUCGAAGAAACAAAUUUUGCGGGAAGUAGAUUGAAAAUUCAAGGUUCGACGAGCCCAGGCAAAAUUGGCUCUUUUAUAUCUUUGCUUUAUUCCUGUUAUACAGUAAUGAGCAAAGAGGGGCAGUUGUAAUACCUCAAUUUUUCCCCGCCCAUUGGAAGCCAAGGCAUAAUCAAAAUUUCAAAAUAUAAAGUCUUUUAACAGUCCUUUACCCAAAUACAAAAACCUAAACGGCAGGCCCAAAUACAAGAGACCUUACCCAGUUACAAUAACCAGUAGGCCCACUAUUACAUCCUACCCAGAUACACUAAAACUAAGACCCAUUACAACAGGCCCAAGUGGACCCAGGACAAAACGGGCCCAAGUGGCCCAGCUUGUUACACCAAGGCAUGAAACCCUAGGGUUUCUGCCUCUCUCCUUGCGCCGCAAACAGAAGGUUCUAGAAGCCAAGCCUCAUGACUCUUCAGCUCCUGCUGUUCCAGCUACCCCGUCAAGGCCAUGAUUCCAGGCCCCAAGUCACGCCGAGAUCAACGCCACCAGUGGACCAUCGUCAGGCCUUUGUUAUUGCCGGAUUUUUCACAAGUACCUGCAAGAAAAGGAAAGAAAAUCAUAGUAAACAUGCGAAGCAAAUACGGAAAGAAAUCGAUGAUUUCUUUCCAAAACUUGUAGUAGUAGAGUCUAUAAAGCCUUAUUUUUAAUCUGUAAAAGGACACGGAGGCAGAGACCAAAAAAUAUUGUACACAGAGUUUUUUUUUUUUUUUUGCAAUAAUAUACCAGAGAUCUUUUACAGAAGACAAAGGUGACAUAUUUUUAUUUUCGUUUCAUUCUCUUGAUCAUGAGCUUAUGCAUAUAAUAUAUUAAAUAGAUAGAGAGAGUAUACCUGGAGAAUCACCUUGAAAAGUGAAACUUUUCAAGAUCCGACCGUCGUGUGUGGCGGAGUCGGUGGCGGUGCGUGGAUCUCAGCGUGGAGGUCCG